This is a long non-coding RNA of Leopardus geoffroyi (Geoffroy's cat), 881 nucleotides long. RefSeq lists it as uncharacterized. Lineage: Eukaryota; Metazoa; Chordata; Mammalia; Carnivora; Felidae. The transcript has 5 exons. The record is from RefSeq and is a predicted model, not a curated record.
GAAGCUCUUCCACCCUGAUGGGACAGACCUGGUCAUGUGCCCAAAUCUCAGCCACCAAGUGUGGAGUUUGGAAAAAUGUAAUUGGAUUAAGUCUAGGAGGGCCUUCUCAGGAGCUCCAGGUACACUUACUAGGAAUUUCUCUCAUCUGGGCUUCUUCAUCUCUCCUACACUGUUCUUGUGUAUGUCAGACAAUUCUAUGGGUUCGCCCAUCAUCUCCAUGAAGAUAUCUCCCAAGUCUAUAGCGCUGGAUGUAAUCAUCAAGGACUUUUCACGACGGCUCUGUUCAGAUGAUCAACUCCCCACCUUGACCUUGAGCACAUCUCCCCAUUUUAUGUCCCACUGCAAGACAAAAGUUUAGUGUGAAUAUGUGGCACAAGACAGUUUUCUUCUCCUCAUAUGCAUCUUACAAAAGUGAAAAGGGUGGAGAUAAACAGAAGGCCCACAGAGAAAAGAUAACUGAAGUGUUUUCUGCUACCAUCAUGUGAGAAUGUAAACUGCAGGCUGAACAAGGCCAUGUAAGAAAGUGCAUUGAGGGAGCAGCCCAGCUUCAGGCUGGUUUUAUAUUAUUCAGUAUUCAGGCUGAGCUGUAUCUGAAUACAAAUUACAACUCAUCCUUCAGCCUGGGUGUCUGCUCAAUAGGCACAGAAUGAGAAACACAAAUGGAAUCUCAAAUUUUCAUGAAAAUGAUUGAAAGAAACAGAUGCAACUUCACUUAGCUGUCCCACUUAAUGCAAUCUCCAAAAGUGAAUUCUACUAAGAAAGACUAGCAAGAAGGUGGCCAGAUGUUUCACCAGCAAGCUCACAGAACAGCUUCUUAGAAACUACUAUAUGCAAAGCUCAACUGUGUCAGUGACUUUAAAAUAAAAACUCAUGGAAUCACA